Molecule: ribosomal RNA, 411 nt
Filed under: uncultured bacterium
Lineage: Bacteria
Description: bacterial SSU rRNA
Rfam family: Bacterial small subunit ribosomal RNA
Source: RNAcentral
AUUGAACGCUGGCGGCGUGCCUAACACAUACAAGUCGAGCGGUAACAGGUGUAGCAAUACAUGCUGACGAGCGGCGAACGGGUGAGUAAUGCUUCGGAAUCUGCCCAUGUAGUGGGGAAUAACCAGCCGAAAGGUUGGCUAAUACCGCAUACGACCCUUGCCCACAAGGCAAAGGUGAAAGCAGGGGAUCGCAAGACCUUGCGCUAUUGGAUGAGCCGAAGUCGGAUUAGCUAGUUGGUAGGUAACGGCCUACCAAGGCGACGAUCCGUAGCUGGUCUGAGAGGACGACCAGCCACACUGGGACUGAGACACGGCCCAGACUCCUACGGGAGGCAGCAGUGGGGAAUUUUGGACAAUGGGGCAACCCUGAUCCAGCCAUGCCGCGUGAGUGAAGAAGGCCUCGGUUGUAAG